RNAcentral lists this ribosomal RNA (497 nucleotides) under uncultured bacterium. RNAcentral's name for it is "partial 16S ribosomal RNA". It matches the Rfam family "Bacterial small subunit ribosomal RNA", at positions 28 to 507 of the family's 1533-position model. The record is from RNAcentral.
GAUGAACGCUGGCGGCGUGCUUAAUACAUGCAAGUCGAGCGAACAGACGAGGAGCUUGCUCCUCUGACGUUAGCGGAGGACGGGUGAGUAACAUGUGGAUAACGUACCUAUAAGAGUGGGAUAACUUCGGGAAACCGGAGAUAAUACGGGAUAAUAUAUUGAAGCGCAUGGUUGAAUAGUGAAAGACGGUUUUGCUGUCACUUAUAGAUGGAUACGCGCUGCAUUAGCUAGUUGGUAAGGUAACGGCUUACCAAGGGAACUAUGCGUAGCCGACCUGAGAGGCGGAUCGGCCACACGAGAACUGGAACGCGGUCCAUGCUACUACGGUAGGCACCAGUAUGGUAUCGUCCGCAAUGGGCGAAAGCCUGACGGAGCAGCGCCGCGUGAGUUAUGAAGGUCUUCGGAUCGUAAAACCCUGUUAUUAGGGAAGAACAAAUUUCUAAUUAACUAUGCACUUCUUGACGGUACCUAAUCAGAAAGCCACGGCUAACUACGUG